GAGGCUUCGGCAAUGGGGGAAACCCUGACCGAGCGACGCCGCGUGGAGGAUGAAGGCCUUUGGGUUGUAAACUCCUUUCGUGGGGGAAGAAAGUACGCGAGGUGAAUAAUCUCGCGUGUUGACGGUACCCCAAGAAGAAGCCCCGGCUAACUCCGUGCCAGCAGCCGCGGUAAGACGGGGGGAGCAAGCGUUGUUCGGAAUCACUGGGCGUAAAGGGCGUGUAGGCGGUUCGGUAAGUGGGAUGUGAAAUCCCUCGGCUCACCCGAGGACCUGCAUCCCAUACUGCUGAGCUUGAGUACAGGAGAGGGUGGGGGAAUUCCUGGUGUAGCGGUGAAAUGCGUAGAUAUCAGGAGGAACACCGGUGGCGAAGGCGCCCACCUGGCCUGCUACUGACGCUGAGGCGCGAAAGCUAGGGGAGCAAACGGG
Molecule: ribosomal RNA, 426 nt
Filed under: uncultured bacterium
Lineage: Bacteria
Description: bacterial SSU rRNA
Rfam family: Bacterial small subunit ribosomal RNA
Source: RNAcentral